Xyrauchen texanus (razorback sucker) is the source of this 339-nucleotide long non-coding RNA. RefSeq lists it as uncharacterized. The record is from RefSeq and is a predicted model, not a curated record. NCBI's taxonomy places the organism in Eukaryota, Metazoa, Chordata, Actinopteri, Cypriniformes, Catostomidae. The transcript has 3 exons.
AGAUGAUUUAGUACUAUAGGUACUCUCACUAGAAGUGGCCGUUAGAUAUUCAUCUGUCCACAGUUAGACAAACUGUCUAUAAAUGGAGAUGAUUUAGUACUAUAGGUACUCUCACUAGAAGUGGCCGUUAGAUAUUCAUCUGUCCACAGUUAGACAAACUGUCUAUAAAUGGAGAUGAUUUAGUACUAUAGGUACUCUCACUAGAAGUGGCCGUUAGAUAUUCAUCUGUCCACAGUUAGACAAACUGUCUAUAAAUGGAGAUGAUUUAGUACUAUAGAUACUCUCACUAGAAGUGGCCGUUAGAUAUUCAUCUGUCCACAGUUAGACAAACUGUCUAUA